UUAAGUUAAUAAGGGCGCACGGUGGAUGCCUUGGCACUAGAAGCCGAUGAAGGACGUGACUAACAACGAAAUGCUUUGGGGAGCUGUAAGUGAGCAAUGAUCCAGAGAUGUCCGAAUGGGGGAACCCGGCAGGUAAUGCCUGUCACUCAUUACUGUUAAGGUAAUGUAGAGGAAGACGCAGUGAACUGAAACAUCUAAGUAGCUGCAGGAAGAGAAAGCAAAAGCGAUUGCCUUAGUAGCGGCGAGCGAAACGGCAAGAGGGCAAACCGAAGAGUUUACUCUUCGGGGUUGUAGGACUGCAACGUGGACUUAAAGAUUAUAGAAGAACUACCUGGGAAGGUAGGCCAAAGAGAGUAAUAGCCUCGUAUUCGAAAUAGUCUUUAUACCUAGCAGUAUCCUGAGUACGGCGAGACACGAGAAAUCUCGUCGGAAUCUGGGAGGACCAUCUCCCAACCCUAAAUACUCUCUAGUGACCGAUAGUGAACCAGUACCGUGAGGGAAAGGUGAAAAGCACCCCGGGAGGGGAGUGAAAUAGAACCUGAAACCGUGUGCCUACAACAAGUUCGAGCCCGUUAAUGGGUGAGAGCGUGCCUUUUGUAGAAUGAACCGGCGAGUUACGAUAUGAUGCGAGGUUAAGUUGAAGAGACGGAGCCGUAGGGAAACCGAGUCUUAAUAGGGCGCAUUAGUAUCAUGUCGUAGACCCGAAACCAUGUGACCUACCCAUGAGCAGGUUGAAGGUGAGGUAAAACUCACUGGAGGACCGAACCAGGGCACGUUGAAAAGUGCUUGGAUGACUUGUGGGUAGCGGAGAAAUUCCAAACGAACUUGGAGAUAGCUGGUUCUCUCCGAAAUAGCUUUAGGGCUAGCGUCGAUGUUAAGUCUCUUGGAGGUAGAGCACUGUUUGGGUGAGGGGUCCAUCCCGGAUUACCAAUCUCAGAUAAACUCCGAAUGCCAAUGAGAUAUAAUCGGCAGUCAGACUGCGAGUGCUAAGAUCCGUAGUCGAAAGGGAAACAGCCCAGACCACCAGCUAAGGUCCCAAAAUAUAUGUUAAGUGGAAAAGGAUGUGGGGUUGCACAGACAACUAGGAUGUUAGCUUAGAAGCAGCUAUUCAUUCAAAGAGUGCGUAAUAGCUCACUAGUCGAGUGACCCUGCGCCGAAAAUGUACCGGGGCUAAAACAUAUUACCGAAGCUGUGGAUACCUUUAUAGGUAUGGUAGGAGAGCGUUCUAUGUGCGAAGAAGGUGUACCGUGAGGAGUGCUGGAGCGCAUAGAAGUGAGAAUGCCGGUAUGAGUAGCGAAAGACAGGUGAGAAUCCUGUCCACCGUAAGACUAAGGUUUCCAGGGGAAGGCUCGUCCGCCCUGGGUUAGUCGGGACCUAAGGAGAGACCGAAAGGUGUAUCCGAUGGACAACAGGUUGAUAUUCCUGUACUAGAGUAUAUAGUGAUGGAGGGACGCAGUAGGCUAACUAAACCAGACGAUUGGAAGUGUCUGGCCAAGCAGUGAGGUGUGAUAUGAGUCAAAUGCUUAUAUCUCUAACAUUGAGCUGUGAUGGGGAGCGAAGUUUAGUAGCGAAGUUAGUGAUGUCACACUGCCGAGAAAAGCUUCUAGCGUUAAUUAUACUCUACCCGUACCGCAAACCGACACAGGUAGUCGAGGCGAGUAGCCUCAGGUGAGCGAGAGAACUCUCGUUAAGGAACUCGGCAAAAUGGCCCCGUAACUUCGGGAGAAGGGGCGCUGACUGAUGGUCAGCCGCAGUGAAUAGGCCCAAGCAACUGUUUAUCAAAAACACAGCUCUCUGCUAAAUCGUAAGAUGAUGUAUAGGGGGUGACGCCUGCCCGGUGCUGGAAGGUUAAGAGGAGUGCUUAGCGUAAGCGAAGGUAUGAAUUGAAGCCCCAGUAAACGGCGGCCGUAACUAUAACGGUCCUAAGGUAGCGAAAUUCCUUGUCGGGUAAGUUCCGACCCGCACGAAAGGCGUAAUGAUUUGGGCACUGUCUCAACGAGAGACUCGGUGAAAUUUUAGUACCUGUGAAGAUGCAGGUUACCCGCGACAGGACGGAAAGACCCCAUGGAGCUUUACUGCAGUUUGAUAUUGAGUAUCUGUACCACAUGUACAGGAUAGGUAGGAGCCUAUGACCUCGGGACGCCAGUUUCGAGUGAGGCGUUGUUGGGAUACUACCCUUGUGUUAUGGCUACUCUAACCCAGAUAGGUUAUCCCUAUCGGAGACAGUGUCUGACGGGCAGUUUGACUGGGGCGGUCGCCUCCUAAAAGGUAACGGAGGCGCCCAAAGGUUCCCUCAGAAUGGUUGGAAAUCAUUCGCAGAGUGUAAAGGUAUAAGGGAGCUUGACUGCGAGAGCUACAACUCGAGCAGGGACGAAAGUCGGGCUUAGUGAUCCGGUGGUUCCGUAUGGAAGGGCCAUCGCUCAACGGAUAAAAGCUACCCUGGGGAUAACAGGCUUAUCUCCCCCAAGAGUUCACAUCGACGGGGAGGUUUGGCACCUCGAUGUCGGCUCAUCGCAUCCUGGGGCUGAAGUAGGUCCCAAGGGUAUGGCUGUUCGCCCAUUAAAGCGGCACGCGAGCUGGGUUCAGAACGUCGUGAGACAGUUCGGUCCCUAUCCGUCGCGGGCGUAGGAAAUUUGAGAGGAUCUGCUCCUAGUACGAGAGGACCAGAGUGGACUUACCGCUGGUGUACCAGUUGUUCUGCCAAGAGCAUCGCUGGGUAGCUAUGUAGGGAAGGGAUAAACGCUGAAAGCAUCUAAGUGUGAAGCCCACCUCAAGAUGAGAUUUCCCAUGAUUUUAUAUCAGUAAGAGCCCUGAGAGAUGAUCAGGUUGAUAGGUUAGAAGUGGAAGUGUGGUGACACAUGUAGCGGACUAAUACUAAUAGCUCGAGGACUUAUCCAA
Molecule: ribosomal RNA, 2898 nt
Filed under: human gut metagenome
Description: bacterial LSU rRNA
Rfam family: Bacterial large subunit ribosomal RNA
Source: RNAcentral